CUUGCUGACCACGUUCUGGACGAGGCCGGCGCGAAUGCCGUAGUCCCAUGCGUGGCAGUCACAGUUGGAGGCGUUGUCCCCCUUGUCCGGAGGGGAUGGCAGGGGUGGUGUGUCGCCUCCGUCCGCGCCGCUGCUGUUGCUCCGGUUGCCCGCAGCCUCCCAGGGGGCAGUGGCGAAGGGGGUGGUGGGGAGGCUGGUCCAGUUGCCCAUGUCCCCGCCCCGGCCUGUGGUGGUGACCCCUGCCAGCUCGGUGCCUUUGCCGGCCCCGCGGCACCAGAAGUUGGGCUGGUCCAGGAGGAACGAGUCCGAGAACUGGCUGAAGCCGAUGAACAGCGCCGGGAUCCAGCAUGGAAACAGCCUCUUCUGUUUGAUGAGAAUCAUCCCAAAGUUGGCAUAUGAAGCUUGAGUUUC
Molecule: long non-coding RNA, 411 nt
Filed under: Pan troglodytes (chimpanzee)
Lineage: Eukaryota; Metazoa; Chordata; Mammalia; Primates; Hominidae
Description: long non-coding RNA NONPTRT014455
Source: RNAcentral